Molecule: ribosomal RNA, 305 nt
Filed under: uncultured bacterium
Lineage: Bacteria
Description: bacterial SSU rRNA
Rfam family: Bacterial small subunit ribosomal RNA
Source: RNAcentral
CCUACGGGAGGCAGCAGUGAGGAAUAUUGGUCAAUGGGCUUACGCCUGAACCAGCCAAGUCGCGUGAGGGAAGACUGCCCUAUGGGUUGUAAACUUCUUUUAUAUGGGAAUAAAGUUUUCCACGUGUGGAAUUUUGUAUGUACCAUAUGAAUAAGGAUCGGCUAACUCCGUGCCAGCAGCCGCGGUAAUACGGAGGAUCCGAGCGUUAUCCGGAUUUAUUGGGUUUAAAGGGAGCGUAGGUGGAUUGUUAAGUCAGUUGUGAAAGUUUGCGGCUCAACCGUAAAAUUGCAGUUGAAACUGGCAGU